AAUAAAAAAAUUAUUUAUUAUAUGCACACAGAACGGCGUGCCACAAUUAGCAUAUAUAUAGAUAUAUUAAUUGUUAUAGAAAUUGUGGCCCAAAUGGCCUUUUAAACGGUAGGCCCACCUGGAGGCCCACUAAAUCGACCCACCUGGCAGGCCCACCACUCGACCCAACCCAGGUUUCCUACCUAUUUAAAACCUAACACUAACCCUAACUCUCUCAUUUCUCUCCCCCUCUCUUCUGUGCCGUCUGCUUUCUCUCUCCCUCCCUCUCCCUAUUUUCCGACUGAUUUUCUUUUCUUUUCUCCACAGCCGAAAAUGGUGGUAGCUUUCCAAAGCCAAAUCAAUGGCUUUUGGAAAGUCACCAAAGCAUUCCAUUUCCACCGCUUUUUCACUCCUUUAAAAGGGGUUCUUCCCCUCGGCCAAAAGUACCUGGUUCUUCUACCUCUCUAAAUCUUUCUCACUCUCUAAAGUUCUGUGUGAACUAAGUGGUAGGUCUCUGUGACCGUGUUUGUGAGAGAUCUCCGUGAUCUGAAGUUGUGGUGUUGCUCAGUGGUGGUGCAACCGUGAUUGUGGGUGCGGUGCCUAGUGACCAUGUUCCCUUAUUUUGGUUUGGAUCUGGCUAUUCUGAGCCUAUCUCAUCUUUAGACUGAUUCUUUAUUAUUUUGUUUAUUAUCAUUAUUUGUAAUUUGUAAUAUUGGCCUGUAAUUAUUUAAAGAGUUUCGUACUCCAAUUCUAUAAUAGUUGGUUAGGUUAUUUUGAAAAGAAUUACCACAAAGGGGUUGAAUCCUCCGUACAGUGGUAUCAGAGCCUCGUCUCUGAUCCUCGUCUCGCUUUGGUGGUGUGACGUGGAUAAAGAAGCCAAACACUCUCUCAGCAAAUCCCCAAAUCAAAACACAUCUCAGCAAAUCAAAACCCGUCUCCCCCAAAUCGAAGAACUCAGCAAACCCUUCCCCCCCAAAUCGCCUUCUCUCUCUAAAAUUCCUUCAAUGUCCGCUGUUACAAGUUCGAACGAGUGUCAUUGUGGAAGACCCACAGUGAUGCGAACCGCGUGGACGAACGAGAACCCGGGAAGAAGGUUUCACUCAUGCCGGCAGUACAAGAGAGGAGGGUCUAGGUUUUUUGCAUGGGAGGAUCCCGUAAUGUGCCAAAGGGCUAGGGCCAUUAUUCCAGGUUUGUUGAAAAGAAUAAAUGGCCUGGAAGCAGAGGUUGAAGUGCUGAGGAAGAGAAACAAGAAAAAUAAAAAAAUCUUUGUUGGUUUAGCUUUGCUUUUGAUGAUUUUGUGUUGGUUGU
Sesamum indicum (sesame) is the source of this 1287-nucleotide long non-coding RNA. RefSeq lists it as uncharacterized. The record is from RefSeq and is a predicted model, not a curated record. Lineage: Eukaryota; Viridiplantae; Streptophyta; Magnoliopsida; Lamiales; Pedaliaceae.